CUUAGAUGUCUUGUGAAAUUGAAAAGAAGAUGGGUGAUGUUGAAGUCUCAAUGGUAGCUGGUAGUUGUCCUUGCAGACAUAUGCAGGUGAUUUUCAGUAUGUUGAAGGCUACUAAAGGUUUGGACGAGGAUACAAUUCCUGUUGAUUUUGGCCUGUGUGAGUCUCAAUGGUAGCAGGUUGUUGCCUCUACAGACGGAUGCUGAUGAUUGCCUCCAUUUCAUUUAGACAAGGUCGUUUAAGUUUGAAGUCGAUUCAGGUACAAUCACCCCAAGAAAAGGGCUGAGGAAAUGACACGUCGACCAGCACAAACUGCUAUGUUUAAGGAUUUGUUGAGAGCUAUGCAAAAUCUUGGUAUGUAGCAAGCACAAGCGCCUUCUCAGAAUGUACAGACUAACUCCAACACCACGAGCUUGGUCGUGGAACAAUUUCGUCGUUAUUAGCCCUCUACUUUUAACAGGAUGGCUGGUCCUUUGGUAGUCGAGGAAUGGAUAAGGGGUUUGUAAUGGAUCUUCAAGCAUCUCGGCUACAUUGAUGCCCAAAAGGUUUUAUGUGCGGAGUUCAUGCUAGUUGAUGUAGCGAGCGAUUGAUGGGAGUCCGUUUCCAGCACUAGGACUGAGGCACAACAAAGCAACCUUACUUGGGCAUGUUUCAAAGAUGAGACGAUGGGAAAAUAUUUUCUACAAGCUUUGAGAGAUCGUAAGGAAAUGAAAUUUCCGCAACUUAAGCAAGGAAGGAUGGCAUUGAAUCAAUUCAAGAAAACACUGAAAAGGGCAAUCAGCGAUUUUAGCCAUUUUUAUGGGAAAACAUGUAGAAUACAAAAAAAAAUAUUAUGGAUUAUUUUGAGUAGAACACAGAUAUAGUCACGACAAGAGAGAAAGAAUUUGGAGAAGUGAAUUUCUUAUUUUCUGCCAACUAUUAUUUCAUCAAUCAAUGUAGGAUACUAUGUGCAAGUUGAUCCGUCCUCGCAAUAUUAUAAUUUUUUUAACACAAUUUAUUUCAUGAAAUGAUAAUUGACCUGUGGGUCUUAAAGAAAUG
Olea europaea var. sylvestris is the source of this 1035-nucleotide long non-coding RNA. RefSeq lists it as uncharacterized. The record is from RefSeq and is a predicted model, not a curated record. Lineage: Eukaryota; Viridiplantae; Streptophyta; Magnoliopsida; Lamiales; Oleaceae. The transcript has 4 exons.